CCUACGGGUGGCAGCAGUGGGGGAUAUUGCACAAUGGGGGAAACCCUGAUGCAGCAACGUCGCGUGAGUGAAGAAUGCCUUCUGAUUUUAAAGCUCUUUUUUUGAUGAAGAUAAUGACGGUACGCAAGGAUAAAGCUCCGGCUAACUACGUGCCAGCAGCCCCGGUAAUACGUCGGGAGCGAGCGUUGUCCGGAUUUACUGGGUGUAAAGGGAGGGUAGGCGGGUUUGGAAGUUAGGCGUGAAAGCUUGGGGCUCAACCGCUAAACUGCGAUUGAAACUGUCGGGCUUGAGUGAAGUAGAGGUAGGCGGAAUUCGUGGUGUAGCGGUGAAAUGCGUAGAGAGCAGGAAGAACACCAAUGGCGAAGGCAGCUUACUGGGCUUUAACUGACGCUGAGGCACGAAAGCAUGGGUAGCAAACAGGAUUAGAUACCCGGGUAGUC
Molecule: ribosomal RNA, 440 nt
Filed under: uncultured bacterium
Lineage: Bacteria
Description: partial 16S ribosomal RNA
Rfam family: Bacterial small subunit ribosomal RNA
Source: RNAcentral